This is a small nucleolar RNA of Vicia villosa (hairy vetch), 84 nucleotides long. NCBI's taxonomy places the organism in Eukaryota, Viridiplantae, Streptophyta, Magnoliopsida, Fabales, Fabaceae. The record is from RefSeq and is a predicted model, not a curated record.
GAGCCAAUGAUGAAAUAAAAGGUUAAUUACUUAUUGGUUUUUCCAUGAAGUUAUCCUAAUCGAGCUUUUUAAAACUGAUGCUCA